Solanum dulcamara is the source of this 1042-nucleotide long non-coding RNA. RefSeq lists it as uncharacterized. The transcript is spliced from 3 exons. The record is from RefSeq and is a predicted model, not a curated record. Lineage: Eukaryota; Viridiplantae; Streptophyta; Magnoliopsida; Solanales; Solanaceae.
CUCAAUUUCUUCAAUCUCAACCGUAGAUUGCAUUUGAUCGGACGGCUCCCAUUCGUUCUUAUCUCUUCCACACCCCAAAAACCCUAAACUAUCUUAUCAUUCUUCUUUCUAAAAAAAAAGAUUCUCUCUCUCUAACUCUCAACCUAACUCUUUCUCUCCACCCUUCAUCUUCUCCAAAGAGACGAGAAGACAACAACAACGCCGCACCUCCACCCUCAUCACCACCGCGCCUUCUCUCCUCCUCACUGAGCCACCAUCGCACCUCACCAUUAACGCCGCCAGCUGCUCAACGCAGCAGCCAUGACGUCGCUAUUUUUCCUCCUACAUCUUCGAUGAGCUGCUGUCUUCACCUCCACGCACGGAGGCUCUUCAACACCAACAGCUGCAGCAGCCCGCAACAGCUUCUCCAGCAGCCGCAGCAGCCUCCGGCAGCAACAACGACGGACAACAGCAGCAGUAGCAACCAACUGCACCACCUGAAACAACACGAACAACCAGCACCUCCAGCGGCGGCUCCAACGGCUGCAUCAGCUCCUCGAUCUUCCGACGAAACCAGCAGCAACAGCUGCAACAGCCUCUCCAUCGCUGCAACAGCAACUUGAAGGAGACAGCAGCCACGUCGGUGAGCAACAACCAACGCCGCCGUCUCCCUCGCUGGCCAGCAGUCAAAAGACCCUUCCAAACUCGAGAUUUCGGUGAUUUAAGAGGCGGAUUUGCAAGAUCCGUCUCAGUGUAGGGGCGGACAUCGACAAUCCGAUUUGUGGCUAGAGUGCUUUAGAUAUCAAGAAGUUGAUUAUUAGUACGGGGUAUCACCAUUGAUUUGAACUUGUGUAGAGCAGCUUUUGAUUCAGAGAUUUGGUAAGAUCAUGGUGUUCAGAGUUGUUGAUUUUCAUCUAUGUUAGAUUAGGACUAGUCUUUACUUUGUUUUAAAAACUAUCUGUACUUACAUUUGUAUUUUAAAAGUCUUGUACUUCUAUUUUAUUUAGACAGUCGAUUACUGACUAAUGUGAGUUCUUGGGGUGGUUCCUUGUGUUUUGUUUCA